Non-coding RNA from Chiloscyllium plagiosum (whitespotted bambooshark), 643 nucleotides. Lineage: Eukaryota; Metazoa; Chordata; Chondrichthyes; Orectolobiformes; Hemiscylliidae. The record is from RefSeq and is a predicted model, not a curated record.
UGCUUUCCAUUGAUACACGGAGGAAUUCAUGUCCUUGUCUCACCAGGGCUCAGGCCCUUGUCUAGUCGCCUCUACUUCAUUCCUCCAUACCUCUGUAAUUGUCUCUAUUCCUACACAAAAAUCUCACAAAUCCUCAUUCUCUAACGCUGCCCUCUUAGGUACCUCUCCGCCCUUAUCAAUGACCACCUUGUCUUGAAUUCUUAAAAUGCAGCUCACCCCUUCCAAACAGACCGAAUAUGAACCUAGAUACCCUCCAGCACAAACCAAAGGCAGACAGCAACAUUGAGAGAGAUUCCAGGUCAGCCAGACGACGGAAAAAAAGUUGGGGCCCUUGCUUUCAUUCGCAUAGCUCCAGUUUACAUCAAGCAGGCAAAAGGGCAUGCAAUCUCGUUCACUUAAGAGUGCAGACCUCCCAUCAUUACAAAAAAUGAAAAUUGAGGAACUCAAAUUGGACCGCAUUCCAAUCUAGGAUAUCUGGUCGGCAUGGACAAGUUGGACUUAAUGGUCUGUUUCUACGCUGUACGACUCUUUGACUCUAUGGUGGGUCAUCGCACCAAACAGGAUUCCCACUUUUGUUUGUUAUCUCAAGACUGGAGGUUGUUGUUUGUGUUGCUGGGUGAAAUAAUAAAAGGCUUGUCUAUCG